GUCCCUGCAGGAGUCAUUUCUAGUCGGGACAUACCAUGGCCAUGAAAGCUCCUGCUCAGACCCUAGCAAUUUGUUUACUCUGGCUCUUAGGUGCCAGAUGUGACAUUCAAGUGACACAGUCUCCUCCAUUCCUGUCAGCAUCUCUAGGAGACAAAGUGACCAUCACUUGCCUCGCAAGUCAGGGCAUCAGCAAUGACUUAAACUGGUACCAGCAGAAAUCAGGACAAGCUCCUACACUCUUGAUCAAAUAUGCAAAUAAUUUGCAAUCUGGUGUCCCAUCAAGGUUCAGUGGUCAAUAUUCUGGAAAAAGUUUCACUCUAACCAUUGGUAGCGUGGAGCCUGAAGAUGUUGGAACUUAUUUUUGUCUACAGCAUUACAAUUUUCCUCACACAGUGAUAUAA
Molecule: non-coding RNA, 401 nt
Organism: Arvicola amphibius (Eurasian water vole)
Lineage: Eukaryota; Metazoa; Chordata; Mammalia; Rodentia; Cricetidae
Source: the annotation of a RefSeq genome assembly